UAGAUGCGAGAGUAGAGCAUAUCAAUAAGCGGAGGAAAAGAAACUAACAAGGAUUCCCUUAGUAACGGCGAGUGAAGCGGGAAGAGCUCAAAUUUGAAAUCUUCAAGGUUCUACCUUGACGAAUUGUAGUUUAUAGAAGUGUUUUCUGUUAGUAGAGUGGCAAAAGUUCUUUGGAAUAGGACAUCAUAGAGGGUGAGAAUCCCGUAUUUGGUCAUUCCUUCCUAGCUGUUGUGAUACACUUUCAACGAGUCGGAUUGUUUGGGAAUGCAGUCCAAAAUGGGUGGUAAAUUUCAUCUAAAGCUAAAUAUUGGCGAGAGACCGAUAGCGAACAAGUACCGUGAGGGAAAGAUGAAAAGAACUUUGAAAAGAGAGUUAAACAGUACGUGAAAUUGUCAAAAGGGAAGCGUUUGACACCAGUGUUGUUUUUCCGAAAAUCAAUUAUGAAUGGCUUGAUUUUAAGUUUCAUGACCUUAAAAGCUUGUUUCUUAUUUUUCAUGUCUUUCGUAAUGCACUUUUCGGUUAACAAGUCAACAUCAAUUUCUUUUGUUGUAAAAGGUUAAGAGGAAGGUGGCUUUACUUUCGGGUAAAGUGUUUAUAGCCUUUUAACUCUGCAAUCGGAGAGAUUGAGGUCUGCAGCGUAGAUCCUUCGGGGUUAGAUACGUUUGUGCUAAGUUAUAGCUUUUCAUAGACAACUUGUUGACUAUGUUAAGUCUUGUAAUUUACUCGCAGAUGCUAUUUUACCUACGCUUAGGAUGUUGACGCGCGUGUGUGCGUG
RNAcentral lists this ribosomal RNA (775 nucleotides) under uncultured Neocallimastigales. RNAcentral's name for it is "partial large subunit ribosomal RNA". It matches the Rfam family "Eukaryotic large subunit ribosomal RNA", at positions 22 to 639 of the family's 3401-position model. Lineage: Eukaryota; Fungi; Neocallimastigomycota; Neocallimastigomycetes; Neocallimastigales. The record is from RNAcentral.